This 494-nucleotide ribosomal RNA is filed under the name uncultured bacterium. RNAcentral describes it as "partial 16S ribosomal RNA". It matches the Rfam family "Bacterial small subunit ribosomal RNA", at positions 28 to 507 of the family's 1533-position model. The record is from RNAcentral.
GACGAACGCUGGCGGCGCGCUUAACACAUGCAAGUCGAACGGAAAGGCCUGCUUUCCCUUGUGGAUUGCGGGUACUCGAGUGGCGAACGGGUGAGUAACACGUGAGUGAUCUGCCCCCAACUUGGGUAUAAGCCUGGGAAACUGGGUCUAAUUCCCGAUAGGACUGCAGGGUGGUGCCUGUGGUGGAACACGAUUUUCUAGUGGUUGGGGAUGAGCUCGCGGCCUAUCAGCUUGUUGGUGGGGUAAUGGCCUACCAAGGCGGCGACGGGUAGCCGGCCUGAGAGGGUGGACGGCCACAGUGGGACUGAGAUACGGCCCAGACUCCUACGGGAGGCAGCAGUGGGGAAUAUUGCACAAUGGGCGGAAGCCUGAUGCAGCGACGCCGCGUGGGGGAUGACGGCCUUCGGGUGGUAAACUCCUUUCGACCGCGAGGAAGCCACCUGGUUGGAAGGGUGGUGACGGUAGUGGUAGAAGAAGCACCGGCUAACUACGUG